Populus nigra (black poplar) is the source of this 1611-nucleotide RNA transcript. It is a transcript of the gene named 26S proteasome regulatory subunit RPN13-like, with no coding region annotated. The transcript is spliced from 6 exons. The record is from RefSeq and is a predicted model, not a curated record. NCBI's taxonomy places the organism in Eukaryota, Viridiplantae, Streptophyta, Magnoliopsida, Malpighiales, Salicaceae.
GCUUUGGAUUUUCUUUUAUUUUUUUCUGUUAUUGUUUAUGAUUUGGGUAUUUGAUAUGUCCUUCUUUUUUGUCCUUCUUUGCAGUGUUGAAAGAAAGGAAGCUUUAUAGAGGAAGUAUGCGAAAAAUGGGUUCUUUGAAAGAAAGGAAGCUUUAUAGAGGAAGUAUGCGAACAAUGGGUUCUUCAUCAGCUGAAGAUAUUCCAGCAAUGCAGGGUGAUGAGGGUUUGCUUCAUUUCCAGUGGCUUGAUAGGAAUUUGAAUACUAUGGAAGAUGUAUCCUAGUUAUUAUUAUGUUUUUGAGCCUGGGGAUUUUGUUUCUCUCUUCCAACAUUGGUUUUUAUUUCUUUUUCUGUUGUUUGUUUUGUUAAUGUUCUUUUAUGGUGAGAACUUGGUAGCUUUUUCUUGACGUGUUGAUUGAUAGCAUCAAAUUAUUUUUUUUCUGAAGAGGUUGUUUUUGAGAAGGUUAAUCAAGCUUUGGGAAGAGUUUACAUCUUGAAAUUCAAUACAGAUGAUCGAAAGUUUUUCAUUUGGAUGCAGAUCAGGAGCCAAAGCUAAAGAUGAUUCACAAUUGUGUAGCUCUGUCAACUAUUAUAUUAAUCGUCCAUUUGGUAAAUACUUUUGUGUUUUCAGUCCUUUGUUAGCCAUGCUACUCUUCAUUAUUUUGUUCCUAAUCAUCCUGGCUUAUAUUUAUAUUCAUCCCCCUAUGUCCUUGCACAGACUUGCCCUCGGGGUAAAUUCUAAAACUUGGGGCAUCUUUUAUAUGGAAAUUUAGAGUAAUAACUUGGUGUUUGUCAAUGUAUAUACCUGUUGAUUCUUGUGAUUCAUUGUAAAAUAACUUUAAAAAGGUUAAGGAGCACUUUUAUUACCAAAAAGAAAUGGCCCAGAAUAAAUUAUGUGGCCAUUUUCUUUUAUUCUGAUGAGAAAGAUUUUUGCUCAUCACUCUCAGGACUGGAAACUUAGUUGUCCCAGACCUUGGUGCAGAAGUAAUGAGUGAUGUAACCUCUUCAUCAGGACCAGUGAAAUUGGAAGACUUGCAAAGAAUCCUGAGUAAUAUUGGUGGUGGAGGUAUGUUCUGCUCAGAUAGUGCAAUUGACCACAUCCUUGUUUGUUGUACUUAGGCUGGCCCACGUGAUGUGAUGAUACAUGUUGUAGGUAGUUCGGGUGAUCCAGAUGAAGGCUUAGGAUAUACUGAAGCCUGAUUUGAUAAUGCCAUUGAAUGAGACAUUGCCACUUGAAGAAGGAUUAACAUCUCAUUUACCUGAGGUAUAAGACAGUCUUAUGUUUAGGAUUUCCUUUGUGUUUUAUGUCGGUGCAUUCUGAGGUAAUUAUGAGGUUGCAGGGUCACUGGACUCCAGAGGAUAUUUUAGACUUGUUGAAGAGUCCUCCUUUCCGUCAGCACGUGAAUUCUUCUACUUAUGUUCUCCGAACUGGACAAAUAGAUUUGUCUCAAGUUGGGAUCAACCCCAGUAAAUCUGAGUGGUUUGUGGCCCCAGAACCUGUAAAUAGAUUUUACAAGGUUUACUCAUGUUCAUCAGCAUUAACUAAAGUCUUUAGUUAAUUCUUUAUUGGGAAAUUCUGAUUAGGGUUGAUUAUGUAACUAAUGAUUAUAGAA